UGAGGAAGUAAAAGUCGUAACAAGGUUUCCGUAGGUGAACCUGCGGAAGGAUCAUUAUUGAAGUAAACCUGAUAAGUUGCUGCUGGUUCUUUUGGGAGCAUGUGCACACUUGUCAUCUUUAUAUCUUCACCUGUGCACCUUUUGUAGACCUGAGUAUCUCUCUGGAUGCUUUUUUAGCACUCAGGAUUUGAGGAUUGACUUUUUUUUGUCUCUUCUUCACAUUUUCAGGUCUAUGUUUCUUCAUAUACCCUAUGUAUGUUAAUAGAAUGUCAUUAAUGGGCCUUUGUGCCUAUACAAAUUACAACUUUCAGCAACGGAUCUCUUGGCUCUCGCAUCGAUGAAGAACGCAGCGAAAUGCGAUAAGUAAUGUGAAUUGCAGAAUUCAGUGAAUCAUCGAAUCUUUGAACGCACCUUGCGCUCCUUGGUAUUCCGAGGAGCAUGCCUGUUUGAGUGUCAUUAAUAUAUCAACCUUCUUUGGUUGGAUGUGGGUUUGCUGGCCUCUUGAGGUCAGCUUUCCUCAAAUGCAUUAGCGGACAACAUUUUGCCAACCGUUCAUUGGUGUGAUAAUUAUCUACGCUAUUGACGUGAAGCAAGGUUCAGCUUCUAAAUGUCCAUUGACUUGGACAAAUUAAUUUUAUUAAUGUGACCUCAAAUCAGGUAGGACUACCCGCUGAACUUAAGCAUAUCAAUAA
This 692-nucleotide ribosomal RNA is filed under the name Calonarius cf. aureofulvus CFP769. RNAcentral describes it as "eukaryotic LSU rRNA". The stretch from base 303 to 456 matches the Rfam family "5.8S ribosomal RNA". The record is from RNAcentral. Lineage: Eukaryota; Fungi; Basidiomycota; Agaricomycetes; Agaricales; Cortinariaceae.